GGCUAUAUAGUCAAUAAUGAUAUUAAAUUGCAAAUUUAAAGGUAUAAUAAGUUGUUGUAGCCU
Molecule: transfer RNA, 63 nt
Filed under: Curculionoidea sp. 24 KM-2017
Lineage: Eukaryota; Metazoa; Arthropoda; Insecta; Coleoptera
Description: tRNA-Cys
Source: RNAcentral